This 301-nucleotide ribosomal RNA is filed under the name uncultured bacterium. Its description in RNAcentral is "partial 16S ribosomal RNA". It matches the Rfam family "Bacterial small subunit ribosomal RNA", at positions 509 to 807 of the family's 1533-position model. The record is from RNAcentral.
CAGCCGCCGCGGGAAUACAGAGGGUGCGAGCGUUAAUCGGAUUUACUGGGCGUAAAGCGUGCGUAGGCGGCUUCUUAAGUCGGAUGUGAAAUCCCUGAGCUUAACUUAGGAAUUGCAUUCGAUACUGGGAAGCUAGAGUAUGGGAGAGGAUGGUAGAAUUCCAGGUGUAGCGGUGAAAUGCGUAGAGAUCUGGAGAAAUACCGAUGGCGAAGGCAGCCAUCUGGCCUAAUACUGACGCUGAGGUACGAAAGCAUGGGGAGCAAACAGGAUUAGAUACCCCCGUAGUCCCUGUCUCUUAUAC